CUUAGGCGUGUGACUGCGUACCUUUUGUAUAAUGGGUCAGCGACUUAUAUUCUGUAGCAAGGUUAACCGAAUAGGGGAGCCGAAGGGAAACCGAGUCUUAACUGGGCGUUAAGUUGCAGGGUAUAGACCCGAAACCCGGUGAUCUAGCCAUGGGCAGGUUGAAGGUUGGGUAACACUAACUGGAGGACCGAACCGACUAAUGUUGAAAAAUUAGCGGAUGACUUGUGGCUGGGGGUGAAAGGCCAAUCAAACCGGGAGAUAGCUGGUUCUCCCCGAAAGCUAUUUAGGUAGCGCCUCGUGAAUUCAUCUCCGGGGGUAGAGCACUGUUUCGGCAAGGGGGUCAUCCCGACUUACCAACCCGAUGCAAACUGCGAAUACCGGAGAAUGUUAUCACGGGAGACACACGGCGGGUGCUAACGUCCGUCGUGAAGAGGGAAACAACCCAGACCGCCAGCUAAGGUCCCAAAGUCAUGGUUAAGUGGGAAACGAUGUGGGAAGGCCCAGACAGCCAGGAUGUUGGCUUAGAAGCAGCCAUCAUUUAAAGAAAGCGUAAUAGCUCACUGGUCGAGUCGGCCUGCGCGGAAGAUGUAACGGGGCUAAACCAUGCACCGAAGCUGCGGCAGCGACGCUUAUGCGUUGUUGGGUAGGGGAGCGUUCUGUAAGCCUGCGAAGGUGUGCUGUGAGGCAUGCUGGAGGUAUCAGAAGUGCGAAUGCUGACAUAAGUAACGAUAAAGCGGGUGAAAAGCCCGCUCGCCGGAAGACCAAGGGUUCCUGUCCAACGUUAAUCGGGGCAGGGUGAGUCGACCCCUAAGGCGAGGCCGAAAGGCGUAGUCGAUGGGAAACAGGUUAAUAUUCCUGUACUUGGUGUUACUGCGAAGGGGGGACGGAGAAGGCUAUGUUGGCCGGGCGACGGUUGUCCCGGUUUAAGCGUGUAGGCUGGUUUUCCAGGCAAAUCCGGAAAACUAAGGCUGAGGCGUGAUGACGAGGCACUACGGUGCUGAAGCAACAAAUGCCCUGCUUCCAGGAAAAGCCUCUAAGCAUCAGGUAACAUCAAAUCGUACCCCAAACCGACACAGGUGGUCAGGUAGAGAAUACCAAGGCGCUUGAGAGAACUCGGGUGAAGGAACUAGGCAAAAUGGUGCCGUAACUUCGGGAGAAGGCACGCUGAUAUGUAGGUGAAGUCCCUCGCGGAUGGAGCUGAAAUCAGUCGAAGAUACCAGCUGGCUGCAACUGUUUAUUAAAAACACAGCACUGUGCAAACACGAAAGUGGACGUAUACGGUGUGACGCCUGCCCGGUGCCGGAAGGUUAAUUGAUGGGGUCAGCGCAAGCGAAGCUCUUGAUCGAAGCCCCGGUAAACGGCGGCCGUAACUAUAACGGUCCUAAGGUAGCGAAAUUCCUUGUCGGGUAAGUUCCGACCUGCACGAAUGGCGUAAUGAUGGCCAGGCUGUCUCCACCCGAGACUCAGUGAAAUUGAACUCGCUGUGAAGAUGCAGUGUACCCGCGGCAAGACGGAAAGACCCCGUGAACCUUUACUAUAGCUUGACACUGAACAUUGAGCCUUGAUGUGUAGGAUAGGUGGGAGGCUUUGAAGUGUGGACGCCAGUCUGCAUGGAGCCGACCUUGAAAUACCACCCUUUAAUGUUUGAUGUUCUAACGUGGACCCGUAAUCCGGGUUGCGGACAGUGUCUGGUGGGUAGUUUGACUGGGGCGGUCUCCUCCUAAAGAGUAACGGAGGAGCACGAAGGUUGGCUAAUCCUGGUCGGACAUCAGGAGGUUAGUGCAAUGGCAUAAGCCAGCUUGACUGCGAGCGUGACGGCGCGAGCAGGUGCGAAAGCAGGUCAUAGUGAUCCGGUGGUUCUGAAUGGAAGGGCCAUCGCUCAACGGAUAAAAGGUACUCCGGGGAUAACAGGCUGAUACCGCCCAAGAGUUCAUAUCGACGGCGGUGUUUGGCACCUCGAUGUCGGCUCAUCACAUCCUGGGGCUGAAGUAGGUCCCAAGGGUAUGGCUGUUCGCCAUUUAAAGUGGUACGCGAGCUGGGUUUAGAACGUCGUGAGACAGUUCGGUCCCUAUCUGCCGUGGGCGCUGGAGAACUGAGGGGGGCUGCUCCUAGUACGAGAGGACCGGAGUGGACGCAUCACUGGUGUUCGGGUUGUCAUGCCAAUGGCACUGCCCGGUAGCUAAAUGCGGAAGAGAUAAGUGCUGAAAGCAUCUAAGCACGAAACUUGCCCCGAGAUGAGUUCUCCCUGACUCCUUGAGAGUCCUGAAGGAACGUUGAAGACGACGACGUUGAUAGGCCGGGUGUGUAAGCGCAGCGAUGCGUUGAGCUAACCGGUACUAAUGAACCGUGAGGCUUAACCUU
RNAcentral lists this ribosomal RNA (2361 nucleotides) under Escherichia coli. RNAcentral describes it as "partial 23S ribosomal RNA". It matches the Rfam family "Bacterial large subunit ribosomal RNA", at positions 584 to 2925 of the family's 2925-position model. The record is from RNAcentral. Lineage: Bacteria; Pseudomonadati; Pseudomonadota; Gammaproteobacteria; Enterobacterales; Enterobacteriaceae.